Molecule: ribosomal RNA, 480 nt
Filed under: Streptococcus gordonii
Lineage: Bacteria; Bacillati; Bacillota; Bacilli; Lactobacillales; Streptococcaceae
Description: bacterial SSU rRNA
Rfam family: Bacterial small subunit ribosomal RNA
Source: RNAcentral
GACGAACGCUGGCGGCGUGCCUAAUACAUGCAAGUAGAACGCACAGUUUAUACCGUAGCUUGCUACACCAUAGACUGUGAGUUGCGAACGGGUGAGUAACGCGUAGGUAACCUGCCUGGUAGCGGGGGAUAACUAUUGGAAACGAUAGCUAAUACCGCAUAAUAUUAAUUAUUGCAUGAUAAUUAAUUGAAGGGUGCAAUUGCACCACUACCAGAUGGACCUGCGUUGUAUUAGCUAGUAGGUGAGGUAACGGCUCACCUAGGCGACGAUACAUAGCCGACCUGAGAGGGUGAUCGGCCACACUGGGACUGAGACACGGCCCAGACUCCUACGGGAGGCAGCAGUAGGGAAUCUUCGGCAAUGGACGAAAGUCUGACCGAGCAACGCCGCGUGAGUGAAGAAGGUUUUCGGAUCGUAAAGCUCUGUUGUAAGAGAAGAACGGGUGUGAGAGUGGAAAGUUCACACUGUGACGGUAUCUAC